GUGGUCCGGAGCACGGGAGAGCAACACUCAACAGCACACCGCCCGGGGUUCACAACGGAAACUCCCUGGAGGCCCUCAACCCUCGGGGUUGCCCCAGCGAGCCGAAGUGCUGGGAGAAAUGCGCCAGAGCGCUAGCGUCAUGUGACGUCACUGGGCCGCGCCAGCCAAUCCGGGCGGUCCUUGUCGUAGGCACUGCGGUGGCCCGCGGCCUGCAGGCGGCGCUGUGGGCCCGCCGGGCGGCCCCACAGAGCCGCCAUAGCCGCCCGCCUACCUCCGACUUAACGUCUCCGCUGUGGGCUCCGCGCCGCCGCCAUGGCCGACGUGGAAGACGGCGAGGAACCCUGCGCCCUGUCCUCUCACUCCGGGAGCGCAGGCUCCAAGUCAGGAGGCGACAAAAUGUUCUCUCUCAAGAAGUGGAACGCGGUGGCCAUGUGGAGCUGGGACGUGGAGUGCGAUACGUGCGCUAUCUGCAGGGUCCAGAUGCCUGUCUUAGAUGUCAAGCUGAAAACAAACAAGAGGAUUGUGUUGGAAGACAGCAUGUGGAGCUGUGUAGGGGCUGGGGGCCACCACAUCACUCACAGACUCUAAACAAUGAUGAAAAAGUCCCCCAGUCACAGCGUCUCAUCUCACUUCUUAAGUGUGGUUUACACAGUGGUCUGGGGAGAAUGUAAUCAUUCCUUCCACAACUGCUGCAUGUCCCUGUGGGUGAAACAGAACAAUCGCUGCCCUCUCUGCCAGCAGGAUUGGGUGGUCCAAAGAAUCGGCAAAUGAGAGUGGAGGCUUUCUUAGUGCAUUUGUUUGGAGCCCUGGUGGAUCUUGUUAUCAAGUGCCCUACAAAGGCCAGAACACUCCAGGGAAUUAAUUCUUCAAAUAGGAGGAGAUGGCUCUGUGGUCCUUUGGUACUCAUCAAAGGCAUGGCUUAGCAUUUUGUUUUAUUUUCAGAAAUUCUCUACAAUUAAGAAGAUAAUUUAUUAAAGAUGGUCUUUCCUACCUCUGUGGUAUGUAUCCCACACACUGCUUAGAAGUGCUUUAAAGGAGGAGAGAGCUACAAAUUUAAUGACUUUAUAAUUUGCUUAUUGGUAUCCCGGGGGUUGUGGAAGUAGUUCCAUUCAGAAGAGAACUUGUUGCAUGCUUAUAGUUGAUCAGUUAAAAAAAAAAAAAAAAGACAAUGUUACAGAAACAAAUAAAGUGCAGUUUAAAACCCAACUCUUAUCCUUAAUUUGUUCCUCAUAUUUAUUUUUGGCUGGGAGGGGGUGAUUCAUGAAGUCUUUGUAUGAUAUAAUGAAAAUUUUAAGUUUGGACCAGUGAACAGGGUAAAUAAAAUUUAAUCUUCAGGCGUAUGGAAUUGUGGUUGUCUUUUAGGCUAUUCUCCUCUAUCUUUGGUUCAUCAAGAAAACCUAAAUCUGCACUCACUUCACUGUCCAAGCAUUGAAUGGUAAAGAACAGAAGUAUUUGUUCUGGUCAGAUUAUGUUGUAAUUUAACUGUUUUAGGUGGAAUGUUAAUGAGGGGAAAAUGUUUACCACUGUAGCACUGGGUCAAAAAGUUUAUUUUAUUACACAGUGUUUUAAUAAAUGGUUUAUUCUGUUUACUUCA
Molecule: RNA transcript, 1594 nt
Organism: Prionailurus viverrinus (fishing cat)
Lineage: Eukaryota; Metazoa; Chordata; Mammalia; Carnivora; Felidae
Gene: RNF7
Gene name: ring finger protein 7
Exons: 4
Source: RefSeq, a predicted model, not a curated record